CGAGCCGGCCGGGCGGUCGCGGCGAAGGUCUUCGGACCUUUUCCGAGGAACGUCCGGGCUCCACAGAGCAGGGUGGUGGGUAACGCCCACCCGGGGUGACCCGCGGGACAGUGCCACAGAAAACAAACCGCCCAGCACUCUGGUGCUGGGUAAGGGUGAAACGGUGGUGUAAGAGACCACCAGCGCCUGAGGUGACUCAGGCGGCUAGGUAAACCCCACCCGGAGCAAGGUCAAGAGGAGUGCUGUAAAAGGCACUCUGCGCGGAUGUUCGAGGGCUGCCCGCCCGAGUCCGCGGGUAGACCGCACGAGGCUCGCAGCAAUGCGGGUCCCAGAUGGAUGACCGCCUCCCCGGCCACCGCAAGGCGCCCGGGAGACAGAACCCGGCGUACAGGCCGACUCGUCCG
Molecule: RNase P RNA, 404 nt
Filed under: Streptomyces boluensis
Lineage: Bacteria; Bacillati; Actinomycetota; Actinomycetes; Kitasatosporales; Streptomycetaceae
Description: Bacterial RNase P class A
Rfam family: Bacterial RNase P class A
About the family: Ribonuclease P (RNase P) is a ubiquitous endoribonuclease, found in archaea, bacteria and eukarya as well as chloroplasts and mitochondria. Its best characterised activity is the generation of mature 5'-ends of tRNAs by cleaving the 5'-leader elements of precursor-tRNAs. Cellular RNase Ps are ribonucleoproteins.
Source: Rfam by way of RNAcentral